RNAcentral lists this long non-coding RNA (7349 nucleotides) under Homo sapiens (human). Its description in RNAcentral is "HSALNT0077648". Lineage: Eukaryota; Metazoa; Chordata; Mammalia; Primates; Hominidae. The record is from RNAcentral.
ACCACAGCUCUGCAGAGCAGAGUUCUGGCCCACUCUCCCCCCACCUCACCCCCCGUGGCUUGGGUCUGCCCUUGUUGUCCUGACCUGCCGGAGGUUUCAUCAGCAUUACCUCUGACUCAUACUUCGCAUUCAAGAGCAAGAUGAAUUCGCUAGCAAUGAGUACCUGGAAGAGGGCCAGACUAUUGGUACUAAAGCAGUGCUGGCCCCAACACAGCUCGCUGGGCCAGACGUUGAUGGGAAAUGGCUGACAGCAGGAUAAACAAGCAGCUCCCUUUUUGGUGAGCUUCAGGGGAAUCAGGUGGACAGAAUCAAGGCUUCAGCCCUAAAGAUGAGAAUUUAAGCUGGAUCUCCUAGAGGAGUUGGGAUCAAGUCUAUGUACUUGGAGAAUACAAGAGAAGGACCCAGCUGGGUGUGGUGGCUCACACCUGUAAUCCCAGCACUUUGGGAGGCCGAGGCGGGCGGAUUACCUGAGGUCAUGAGCCCCAGACCAGACUGGCCAACAUGGCGAAACGCUGUCUCUACUAAAAAUACAAAAAUUAGCCUGGCAUGGUGGUGCACACCUGUAAUCCCACCUACUCAGGAGUCUGAGGCAGGAGAAUCACUUGAACCCAGGAGGCAGAGGUUGCAGUGAGCCAAGAUUGCACCACUACACUCCAGCCUCGGUGACAGGGUGAGACUCUGUCUCAAAAAAAAAAAAAGAGAGAGAGAGAAGGACCCAACCUUUGGGACAGGGAGGAGGAGAGUUGGUUUCCAGAAGACAGUAGGAUGGGAUUGAUGCACUUACCUAAAGCUCAGGAGCUGGUAGGAGCGCCAAUAGCCAUGGUUCUGCCUGAACCCAGGCAGGCCAGGAACUCAGCAUCCUGAGUGGGAUUCUCAGUGAAGAUAACACUGCUAAAACCUGGCCAUGGAGAAUAUAAACACUGCCAGAGGAGUUACCCAUGACAAAUGGAUUACAUGGUCAGGAAGUCCAAGUUCUCAGAGAUAAACCCAACUAACUGAUAACCAGGAACUUCAUCCCCAUUAUCUCUGACCACUGGGUCCUAGAGUUCUUGUAUAAUGCCAAAUGGGUAAGAGGAGCUCCCUGAGAAAAUGACAGAUUAGACUUCCCACCAACCCUGAUGGAAGGGACAGAGUCUUACUGAAAUGAAUUUAGAAAAAUAAAAGCAUGCGAUGACUCUUUCACCUAUGAACUGUGGAACAAAUCAAACAUGCAACAUAUGUGAUGCAAUAGGAUGUGAUUGGAUUUUAUUUACAUAUCAGGGUAUCCAAUGAUACAAAAAUUGUUUCUAUUUCCACAUCUGUCUCACAAUAGACAUAAUAAUUUAAGAGAGAUUAAAUAUUCAAAAGUAAACAAAGCAAGCAAACAGAAUCUCAGAAGAAAGUUUAGAAGAAUAUAUGUAUAAGUUAUGGAUCAGAGAGACUUUUAUAUACAUUGUAUCAAAGCAAGAAACUUAGUCCAGGAACAGUGGCUCACAUCUGUAAUCUCAACACUUUGAGAAGCUAAGGCAGGAGGAUCACUUGAGUCCAGGAGUUCAAGACCAGACUGGGCAACAUAGCAAGUCCCCUGUCUCUACAAAAAAUAAAAAAUUUAGCUGGGCAUGGUGCCACACGCCUGUAGUCCCAGCUUCUUGGGGGGGCUUAGGUGGGAGGAUCACCUGAGUCUGGGAGGUCGAGGCUGCAGUGAGCCGUGACUGUGCCAUUGUAUUCCAGCCUGGGCAAAAGAGUGAGACCCUGUCCCUGCCAAAAACCCCAAGCAAACAAACAAACAAAAGAAACUUAAAAGCGAUAGAAGAAAAUGUGGACAUAUUUGAUAUAUAAAUAUGUAAAUUUUUUAGUAUAGAAAGACAUACAAUUGUUCAAGGUAAUAUACAAAUGCUAGAUUAGGGGGAAAUUGCCAUGGAUAUGUCAGAUAAGAUGUUACUAUCAGUAAAAUGCAAAUAACUCCCACAAAUUAGUAAGAAAUAGAUAAACAGUGAAACAAACAUAAUAGCAAGUAAUAUGACUAGAAAAUUCACAGGUGAGCAAAUCCAAAUGGUGAUUAAACUCAUAAAAAGAUGCUCUAUUUCACUAGUUAUCAAGGGAAUGUAAAUUAAUGAUAUUUAUUCUCAUUUAUCAGAUAGACAGUUUUUUUGAAAAGGAUACUCUCACACAUUGGUGUUGGAAAUUUAAGGAAGAUUGAAAUGCACACACAUAUAUCUUAUAAUCUAGAAAUCCUACUUCUGAGAAAUCAAUACUGUAGAAAUAUGAGAGCCAUCUCUUCGUGGUAUGGGGUAGGAAAAGUUUCCUCAAGAAAACGGAGAAAACAUGAACCAUAAAGGAAAAUGUUGAUAAAUUGGCUAUAUUAGUAUUUAUUUCUAUAUGCCAAAAUAUGUCAUAAACACAUUUAAAAGGAAAGUCAUAAACUGGCAGAAGAUAGCUGCUACUCAUAAAAUGAUCAAAAUAUUAAUAUCCAGAAAUACUUGUUUUUAUCUAUAUGAAAUUGCCAAUAUUCAACAAUUUUUGACCAACAAAAAAGAUAUCUGACUCAACCUAAUACACAUAAUUUUUCCAUAUUCAAUAAGAAAAAGACAACCCAAGAGAAAGAAAUGGACAAAGCACAUGAAUUCACAGAUGAGGAAAACCAAAUGGCCAAUAAACCUUUCAUAACUACGCUUAAUUCACUAGAAAUCUGGGAAAUAAAAUAAAAACUAUAAUGAGACAGCAUUUCAUAUCAUAAAGUUGGCAAAGAUUAAAGAGGAUUGGUAAUAAUGUGGGGAAAUGGGAACUCUUAUAUAUUGUAGAAGUACAUAUAGGUAUAAAUUUGGCAAUACCAUGUGAAGUUGAUGAUAAACACCCCCACCUACUUCACUGCUGGGUAUAUGUACCAAAGAGAACCUCAAGGAGACAUGUAUAGGAAGGAUUUAUGAAGCAUCAUUUAUAUAGCAAUUGGCAUGAUAUGAAUGACAUUGUAUUUUAUAGGUAAAUAUUGAUAUGAGAUAGAUUUAUAUCUGUCAAAAUUAAAGAUCUAACUCUACAUAUGUCAAUGUGAUAAGUCUUUCAAAAAUAUAAUGUUGAAUAAAAAACAAAUUGCAGGAAAAUACCUAGAGUAUGAGCUCAGUUAUGUACAUUUUAAAAUUACACAGGACUUUAUACACAUAGUAAAAUGUGAAUGGAGACAAUAUAUAGCUGAUUUAAGAUAAUGAUUAGAGAGAGAAAGAGAUGAAAUGGAAGAGAAAUAAGGAGAUCUUUAACUACAAUUCCAACCUUGUUUUUUUGCUUUCUUUUUUUUUUUAAAAAAAAAACCUGAAUAUGGCAAAAUGUUAACAAUUGUUUUAAAAAAUAAUGUUUCAGGCUGGGCACAGUGGCUUAUGCCUGUAAUCCCAGCACUUUGGGAGGCUGAGGCGGGCAGGUCACCUGAGGUCGGGAGUUUGAGACCAGCCUGACCAACAUGGAGAAACCCCGUCUCUACUAAAAAUACAAAAUUAGCCAGGCGUGGUGGCGCAUGCCUAUAAUCCCAGCUACUCAGGAGGCUGAGUCAGGAGAAUUGCUUGAACCCAGGAGGCGGAGGUUGCGGUGAGCCAAGAUCGCACCAUUGCACUCCAGCCUGGGCAACAAGAGUGAAACUGUCUCAAAAAAAAAAAAAAAAGUUUCACACUUCUGUGUUUUUCAGUUAUCAUCUGUUCUUUCCUCUAUGUUUGAAAUAUUGACACUUUUUUAAAAAAGAAAUAAAAGUUAUAAUAUGUAAGAUUCCAUGAACAAGGAUGUUCGUUGCAGCAUUGUUUCUAGAAGAGGGACCCGUCUUGGUGCCCAAUGAUAAGGGAGUAGUUGAGGAAACCGUGGUACAUCCAUACUAUGCAGUUCAUUCAUCUAUGGCUUGUGAUAGAUUGAAUUGGGCUUUUGUUUAGUUUAAGUAUUAAAAAAAUUGACAUUAAUUUAGUAUCUCACAUUGUUGAAGUAAUGAAAAAUGGGAUGCACAGUGUUCUGAAACUGGCUGCGUAAUAUUUCAUCAUAUAGAAGCAGGUGACAUCAUAGGUGAAUGUUUGCCCACUUGCUCACCCUGUUUAUUAAUGAUACAUUUCUUUUUCCCUCUGCCCCUCCUAUGUCUUUGAAGCUUUGAUUCAGAGCGUCAUUUACCAACCUCCAAUUCCUCUGUGGUUAUGGCCGGAACCUCUGAUCACAUAAUUUCGCAAGAGAAUAAAUUAUGACAGCAGGGUCUUUUGGUUUGAUUUCUAAUUAAACAAAAAGGCCCUUAAUAACGAACUCUCUCAUCAAUUUAUGUGGAUGGCAAAUGUCAGAGAGCAACUUGGGAUUUCAGCUUUCUUCUUUCCUAUCAUCAAGGAAAGUGUCACUCCUCUGACUUAUACCUCUCUGUCCACAGCAUCUUUCUUCAAGAGCUCAGUUAACCUCCUGUCACUGCACUCCUGAACUCCUGGGUGAUGCCAGGCAGGAGAGUAAGUUACAGGCAUUCUUAAAGCAUUUCUGCUGAAUAUCCAGGGGACUGGAGAAAAAGUGGAUAACUUGUGCAGGGCAAUGCUAACAAUACUAAUAAUAGAACAAUGGCUAACAAAGGGCCCUGCAUCGCCAGACCCCCCUGUGCUGUCUUCAUGAACUCAGUUCCUUAUAAAUACAGCUCAUGAAGAUUGUUGCUCUAUCACAGAGGUUACACCAUUAUUUGAAAGAAUCAAUAACAUUCACAUAGUUCCUUAAAGACAUUCUGCUCUCUAAAUUUCUUCCUUUGGCUGGUAUUUUAAGAGCUGCCUCUAUACUUUGGAUGUGUGGUCUACUGAUGUUCAACAGCUAUGAAAGGAUCACUCAUUUACCACACCAUGGCCUUCCAAAGCCCUUGUCAUCCAGAAAUAAAAUUUCAUUUCUUAGGAGGAAAAUGAAAGUUUUGGGUUUUUUUCCCCCUUGUAAUGUUGAGAGCUUCUUCUCACCACAGCAAAUUGGAUCAAAAUCUCCCAAAGGGGCACAGAGACAAAGGGAAAUGAUCUGAAGCUUCCUGGUGAAAGCAGGUCACAUUAUCCCCUCUUCCUCGUCUUUCCCGUCAACACCUCUGCAGGAGGUGCGCCUUCAGAAGGCAGUGUUGAGGGACUGCACACACAGGCUUCUCCAGCCUGGGAAAUGGGAGUCAAAUUGAUAACUACCAUUAACAUGCUCGCCAUUUGCAAACUACUUCCCCUUGAGUGUUUAAAAGCAUUUUUUUGGUCAAUUGAGGACAAAGAAAAUGCCCUUUUCUGUGCUGGAAGAAAACAAGUUAAUGACUUCAAUUGCUUCCCUUGCUGUGGCUAGCUGAUUUCCAAAAUCUCCUUUACCCAUAAUGGUUUGGAUGCUAGGGCAUUCUCACUGUGAUGCUGACAUAGCUAGACAGUAGAGAGCUAGUGUCACGCUGUGGGUAGCUAGGGGGCAUGGACUUUGCAGAGGGAUCUGUAAAACUGAGAAUCCAGUUCCCAGAGACAGAAUAAUAUUAAAUGUCAAAUGUGGCACAUUGAUGAAACUAUUUUUGUUUGAAAUUACACCCAAUACAUAGUACUAAUGCCUAUCCAAAUAUUAAAAUUACCCCCCAAAUGGAACACAUUUGCUGUUCUUUAAGAUGCAUUUUUAAACUGCCACUCUGUAAUAAUUCUGGCCUUUUAUAGAGUCCAGAAGUCCAAGGCCACACAUCCUCCUCAUCAGCAUUCACUUGAGAGGGCCUGUAACCUUUCAGAUGAGGAAGCACUACUUUUUAUUUUUCUCAUGCUUUUAGAUAAGUCUGCUAAAAGGUCUGGUCACAUCUGAGAUUAGGGCAUAUUGACCCCAAAGAAUGGGGAAAGGGGACUUCUAUGCUACUAAGGACUGAGUUGUGUUCCCCCAUGCCUCCACCUUCCAAAUUCGUAUGUUGAACCUUAACCCUUAAGGCAAGCUUGUCCAACCCACGGCCCGUAGGCUGCAUGCGGCCCAGGAUGGCUUUGAAUGGGGCCCAACACAAAUUUGUAAAACACUAUGAGGUCGGCAUGGUGUCUCAUGCUUGUAAUCCUAACACUGUGGGAGGCUGAGGUGGGUGGAUCACUUGAGGUCAGGGGUUCAAGACCAGCCAGGCCAACAUGGUGAAACCCUGUCUCUACUAAAAACACAAAAAUUAGCCGGGUGUUGCUGCACAUGCCUAUAAUCCCAGCUACUUGGGUGGCUGAGGCAGGAGAAUUGCUUGAACCUGGAAGGCCGAGAUUGCAGUGAGCCAAGAUGGCGACACUGCACUACAGCCUGGGCUACAGAGCAAGACCCUGUCUCAAAAAAAAAAAAAAGCAAACAAAAAAAAGUAUGAUAUUUUCUUUGGUGAUUUUUUAAGUUUUAGCUCAUCAGCUAUUGUUAGUGUUAGUAUAUCUUUUGAGUGGGCCAAGACAAUUCUUCCAAUGUGGCACAGGGAAGCCAAAAGAUUGGGCACCCUUGCCUUAAGGUGAUUUGAAAAUAAGAUCUGUAAGGAGGUAACAAAGGCUAUGUGACGUGACAAGGGUGGGGCUCUGAUAUGACAGGAUUAGCAUCCUUAUGAAAAGAGACGCCAGAAAUCUUGCUCUCUCCUUGCACAAAAAGGACAUGUGAGCACAAAGCAAGAAGGUUGCCACCUACAAGCCAAAAGAAGAGGCCUGAGAAUGAAACCUAUCUUUCUAGCACCUUGAUGUUGAACUUCCUAGCCUCCAGCACUGUGAGAAAUACAUUUCUGCUGUUUAAGCCAUGCAGUCUGUGGUAUUUUGUUAUGGCAGCCCAUGCUGACUAACACAGGGACAUAUCUUCAGGCACGUUCACAUUUCAAUUUAAAAUCCCACUGUGGCAGUAGCUGAGACUUCUUUUUGAAUUAGGUUGAAGGAGUUCAGGACAUGGCACCCCAAAAUAUGCCACUUUGGUAUGUUGAUUAUUUUGAGCUUAAGGCACUUGAAAAACAGCAAAUGCAAGAAGCUUUCUCUAAGCUCUUAUUACCUGCCUAAAGACAGAUCCUCCAAGAGGAACUCAAUUGUCAUAAAUUCCUUCCCCAGGAGUUUCAUCAACCAGGAAAGAUUGAUUCUUAAUCACAAGAGAGGAGACCAGAGGUUGACACCACACCCAGACACACUUUGUCACAAACUGUUAUAUCUCUCAUCUCUUCUUCUAAGGGUCCAUUAAUCUUUCCUAAAAUUCAUUGACUCUUCCCUAAGUGGUCUACAACCUCUCUCCACUUCUCCUCUUAUGACAGUGUAUAUAAGCUCUCAAACAUCCCCACUUGUGUAUUCACAUUUUUCCUGUGAUGUCUCUGUGCAUGUAAUAUUACAAAAUACGUUAAAAAUAAUUUAUUACUUAAAACUUUAGAUCAUAUUUUAAAAUAUUAAAAAUUACAGUGAAAAUUUUGUUUUUUGUGUCGUUAA